CCUACGGGCGGCAGCAGUGGGGAAUAUUGGACAAUGGGGGGAACCCUGAUCCAGCGACGCCGCGUGAGUGAAGAAGUAUUUCGGUAUGUAAAGCUCUAUCAGCAGGGAAGAAAGAAAUGACGGUACCUGACUAAGAAGCCCCGGCUAACUACGUGCCAGCAGCCGCGGUAAUACGUAGGGGGCAAGCGUUAUCCGGAUUUACUGGGUGUAAAGGGAGCGUAGACGGCGAUGCAAGUCUGAAGUGAAAGGCGGGGGCCCAACCCCCGGACUGCUUUGGAAACUGUAUGGCUGGAGUGCAGGAGAGGUAAGUGGAAUUCCUAGUGUAGCGGUGAAAUGCGUAGAUAUCAGGAGGAACACCGGUGGCGAAGGCGGCCUGCUGGACUGCAACUGACGUUGAGGCCCGAAAGCGUGGGGAGCAAACAGGAUUAGAUACCCGUGUAGUC
This 443-nucleotide ribosomal RNA is filed under the name uncultured bacterium. RNAcentral describes it as "partial 16S ribosomal RNA". It matches the Rfam family "Bacterial small subunit ribosomal RNA", at positions 338 to 795 of the family's 1533-position model. The record is from RNAcentral.